RNAcentral lists this ribosomal RNA (740 nucleotides) under uncultured bacterium. RNAcentral describes it as "bacterial SSU rRNA". It matches the Rfam family "Bacterial small subunit ribosomal RNA", at positions 28 to 750 of the family's 1533-position model. The record is from RNAcentral.
GAUGAACGCUGGCGGCGUGCCUAAUACAUGCAAGUCGAGCGAACAGAUGAGAAGCUUGCUUCUCUGAUGUUAGCGGCGGACGGGUGAGUAACACGUGGGUAACCUACCUAUAAGACUGGGAUAACUCCGGGAAACCGGGGCUAAUACCGGAUAAUAUAUUGAACCGCAUGGUUCAAUGUUGAAAGACGGUUUCGGCUGUCACUUAUAGAUGGACCCGCGCCGUAUUAGUUAGUUGGUAAGGUAACGGCUUACCAAGGCAACGAUACGUAGCCGACCUGAGAGGGUGAUCGGCCACACUGGAACUGAGACACGGUCCAGACUCCUACGGGAGGCAGCAGUAGGGAAUCUUCCGCAAUGGGCGAAAGCCUGACGGAGCAACGCCGCGUGAGUGAUGAAGGUCUUAGGAUCGUAAAACUCUGUUGUUAGGGAAGAACAAAUUUGUUAGUAACUGAACAAGUCUUGACGGUACCUAACCAGAAAGCCACGGCUAACUACGUGCCAGCAGCCGCGGUAAUACGUAGGUGGCAAGCGUUAUCCGGAAUUAUUGGGCGUAAAGCGCGCGUAGGCGGUUUCUUAAGUCUGAUGUGAAAGCCCACGGCUCAACCGUGGAGGGUCAUUGGAAACUGGGGAACUUGAGUGCAGAAGAGGAGAGUGGAAUUCCAUGUGUAGCGGUGAAAUGCGCAGAGAUAUGGAGGAACACCAGUGGCGAAGCGGCUCUCUGGUCUGUAACUGACGCUGAU